RNAcentral lists this ribosomal RNA (253 nucleotides) under uncultured bacterium. RNAcentral describes it as "partial 16S ribosomal RNA". It matches the Rfam family "Bacterial small subunit ribosomal RNA", at positions 524 to 776 of the family's 1533-position model. The record is from RNAcentral.
UACGGAGGGGGCAAGCGUUGUUCGGAAUUAUUGGGCGUAAAGAGUAUGUAGGCGGCUGGAUAAGUCAAGCGUGUAAGCCCACGGCUCAACCGUGGAAUUGCGUUUGAAACUAUUCAGCUUGAGCACAGGAGAGGAAGGCGGAAUUCCCAGUGUAGCGGUGAAAUGCAUUGAUAUUGGGAAGAACACCGGUGGCGAAGGCGGCUCACUGGCUCGAUACUGACGCUGAGGUGCGAAAGUGUGGGGAGCAAACAGG